UGGGGAAUAUUGCACAAUGGGCGCAAGCCUGAUGCAGCGACGCCCGCGUGAGGGAUGACGGCCUUCGGGUUGUAAACCUCUUUCAGCAGGGAAGAAGCGAAAGUGACGGUACCUGCAGAAGAAGCGCCGGCUAACUACGUGCCAGCAGCCGCGGUAAUACGUAGGGCGCGAGCGUUGUCCGGAAUUAUUGGGCGUAAAGAGCUUGUAGGCGGUUUGUUGCGUCUGCUGUGAAAGACCGGGGCUUAACCCCGGUAUUGCAGUGGGUACGGGCAGACUAGAGUGCAGUAGGGGAGACUGGAAUUCCUGGUGUAGCGGUGAAAUGCGCAGAUAUCAGGAGGAACACCGAUGGCGAAGGCAGGUCUCUGGGCUGUAACUGACGCUGAGAAGCGAAAGCAUGGGGAGCGAACAGGAUUAGAUACCCUGGUAGUCCAUGCCGUAAACGUUGGGCACUAGGUGUGGGGGACAUUCCACGUUUUCCGCGCCGUAGCUAACGCAUUUAAGUGCCCCGCCUGGGGAGUACGGCCGCAAAGGCUAA
Molecule: ribosomal RNA, 535 nt
Filed under: uncultured bacterium
Lineage: Bacteria
Description: bacterial SSU rRNA
Rfam family: Bacterial small subunit ribosomal RNA
Source: RNAcentral